UUUGGUCCUGUCUUACCCUUUCCA
RNAcentral lists this non-coding RNA (24 nucleotides) under Arabidopsis thaliana (thale cress). Lineage: Eukaryota; Viridiplantae; Streptophyta; Magnoliopsida; Brassicales; Brassicaceae. The record is from RNAcentral.